GCCUCCUCACCCCCCAUAAAACAAAUCCUAAAAAAGCUUUGUAACCCCGGAGGAACUUAGCAUAUCAAUAAGCGGAGGAAAAGAAACCAACAGGGAUUGCCCCAGUAACGGCGAGUGAAGCGGCAACAGCUCAAAUUUGAAAUCUGGCCCCCCCGCGGGCCCGAGUUGUAAUUUGCAGAGGAUGCUUUUGGCGCGGCGCCUUCCGAGUGCCCUGGAACGGGACGCCAUAGAGGGUGAGAGCCCCGUCUGGUCGGACGCCCAGCCUCUGUAAAGCUCCUUCGACGAGUCGAGUAGUUUGGGAAUGCUGCUCUAAACGGGAGGUAUAUGUCUUCUAAAGCUAAAUACCGGCCAGAGACCGAUAGCGCACAAGUAGAGUGAUCGAAAGAUGAAAAGCACUUUGAAAAGAGGGUUAAACAGUACGUGAAAUUGUUGAAAGGGAAGCGCUUGUGACCAGACUCGGGCGCGGCGAAUCACCCGGCGUUCUCGCCGGUGCACUUCGACGCGCCCGGGCCAGCAUCAGCUCGCCGCGGGGGACAAAGGCGCCGGGAACGUGGCUCCCCAGGGAGUGUUAUAGCCCGGCGCGCAACGCCCCGCGGCGGACUGAGGUUCGCGCGUCCGCAAGGAUGCUGGCGUAAUGGUCACCAGUGACCCGUCUUGAAACACGGACCAAGGAGUCGUCCUCGUAUGCGAGUGUUCGGGUGUCAAACCCCUACGCGCAAUGAAAGUGAACGCGGGUGAGAGCCUCGCGGCGCAUCAUCGACCGAUCCUGAUGUUCUCGGAUGGAUUUGAGUAGGAGCAUACGGGGCCGGACCCGAAAGAAGGUGAACUAUGCCUGUGUAGGGUGAAGCCAGAGGAAACUCUGGUGGAGGCUCGCAGCGGUUCUGACGUGCAAAUCGAUCGUCAAACAUGGGCAUGGGGGCGAAAGACUAAUCGAACCUUCUAGUAACUGGUUUCGCAUUAUUCCCUCCCCGAUAUAUAAAACCCCCCGGGGGGGAGGGGGAGAGGAAGAGAGGGUGGAGGGAGAGG
RNAcentral lists this ribosomal RNA (1026 nucleotides) under Ophiocordyceps sinensis. RNAcentral describes it as "LSU rRNA". It matches the Rfam family "Eukaryotic large subunit ribosomal RNA", at positions 1 to 1415 of the family's 3401-position model. Lineage: Eukaryota; Fungi; Ascomycota; Sordariomycetes; Hypocreales; Ophiocordycipitaceae. The record is from RNAcentral.